AGACCGUGCAAAGGUAAGCAUAAUCAUUAAGUUUUUUAAUUGGGAACUGGAAUGAAUGGUUUGACGAAUUAAUGAUUGUCUCAUUAUAAAUAUUUGAAUUUUAUUUUUAAGUUAAAAUGCUUAAAUAAUAAUAAGGGACGAGAAGACCCUAUAGAUCUUAAUAACUGAAAACUAUUUAAUUUUGUAGUUGUGGAAUAAUAAGAUGUUUAAAUUAUUUUAUUGGGGUGAUAUGAGAAUAGUAUAACUUCUUAUUAUUUAACUUUGAUGAAUGAUUGGUUUCUGAUUUUAUAUUAUAGAAUGAAGAUAAAGAUACCUUAGGGAUAACAGCGUUAUUUUAUUUGAGAGUUCAAAUUGACAAUAAAGAUUGCGACCUCGAUGUUGGAUUAAAAUUAUAUGUUGGUGUAGGAGUCAAUAAUAUUGGUCUGUUCGACCAUUAAAUUUUUC
This 444-nucleotide ribosomal RNA is filed under the name Aphonomorphus sp. MCJ-2002. Its description in RNAcentral is "partial 16S ribosomal RNA". The stretch from base 320 to 444 matches the Rfam family "Bacterial large subunit ribosomal RNA", at positions 2473 to 2598 of the family's 2925-position model. The record is from RNAcentral. Lineage: Eukaryota; Metazoa; Arthropoda; Insecta; Orthoptera; Gryllidae.